AUGUACCUUGUCUUCACGUGUGGUGUGAUGCCUACAGGAAGCUCCAAACUCGUACCUUUGCUCGCCCAUAAGGAAAUCAGGGAAGCUAUUGGACCAUAUGCUGAUGUAGCCAGUAGGGGUCGAGCUAUUAGGAUGGUGCUUCAAGCUAAUAACAGAGAAAAGCCACAAUCAGCCGAUGCAGACGAUAUGGGCGGCAGCAGCCGCCAACCGGCAACUCAGAUGCAACUUCUUAAAGACAAUAUAAAGGCUAUUCGUUCUCCAGUGGUGCCUCGUGCAUGUAAAGUGGCCGACGAGCUGAAUACCAUGCCUAGAGAUGGCCGCUGGGGCCUCAUUGGAGAUGUAUGGCUGGAGAUGUUUUUCUACAUCGCGCCUCGCUGUGGGGGUGAUUUCCAUGCUCAUCAUCUCAGUACCGGCGGGGAGUUCGUGACGCAUGUCCUCCAACUCAUGCGUUUACUAGGCCCUUUUCUACCACCGCCAGAUGCUUAG
This 486-nucleotide ribosomal RNA is filed under the name Triticum aestivum (bread wheat). RNAcentral's name for it is "partial small subunit ribosomal RNA". The record is from RNAcentral. Lineage: Eukaryota; Viridiplantae; Streptophyta; Magnoliopsida; Poales; Poaceae.